RNAcentral lists this ribosomal RNA (244 nucleotides) under uncultured bacterium. RNAcentral's name for it is "partial 16S ribosomal RNA". It matches the Rfam family "Bacterial small subunit ribosomal RNA", at positions 28 to 303 of the family's 1533-position model. The record is from RNAcentral.
GAUGAACGCUGGCGGCGUGCCUAAGACAUGCAAGUCGAGUGGGUUUAGACCCACGGCGAACGGGUGAGUAAUACAUAGGAAUUUUCUUUAAGUCGAGGAUAUCCUCCCGAAAGGGAGUGCAAUACUCGAUGUGAACGCAAGUUUAAAGUCGCAAGACGCUUAAGGUGAAGCCUGUGCACCAUCAGCUAGUUGGUAAGGUAAAGCUUACCAAGGCUAUGACGGUUACCGGGGCCCGAGAGGGUGG